CAGACGUCCCGCGGGAGCCGGGUGGACCCGGCUGAGAGGGGGGCCGCAGCCCCCGACCGCACGAACCUGAUCCGGGUCAUGCCGGCGAAGGGAGCGGAGGCAGCACCGUG
This 110-nucleotide non-coding RNA is filed under the name Nocardiopsis flavescens. RNAcentral's name for it is "TPP sequence". It matches the Rfam family "TPP riboswitch aptamer (THI element)". Rfam says of the family: Vitamin B(1) in its active form thiamin pyrophosphate (TPP) is an essential coenzyme that is synthesised by coupling of pyrimidine and thiazole moieties in bacteria. The record is from Rfam by way of RNAcentral. Lineage: Bacteria; Bacillati; Actinomycetota; Actinomycetes; Streptosporangiales; Nocardiopsidaceae.